UUGCACUCCUGCACCGUUUCUGUUCAAUACAACUUGCUUGCGAUUCAUCUGUCUUCUUGUGUCUGGAUGGGGAUUUAUUUAACACUACACUAAACGACUUUGCCCAUGGUUAAGUCAGGGUGCAGCCUCUCUGCUGUUUAAAUCAGGUGUUGGCCACAGACGGCCUUGAGUGUGGCUGACCAUGUCUCCUCCUUGGCUCACUGAAGCCCUGCACUCCUUUUCUAUCAUCAGCAAACAUGAUGAUUUAACACAAGACAUUUAUGACCUCAAGAGCAAAUGCAUGAAACAACGGUCUGACAUGUCUGAAGAUAGAUCAGUUCUUCACCCAACAUCUGGAGAAGAAAAAUAACCCAGCAGCCACUCUUGAGUUGAAGAAUAUCCUUCAAGCAGUCAAACAGAUUGCUGUUUCUAGGUCCUCAGGGAUUUGAGAUGAUCUCCAAGCUCCUCCAGAGAAGGUCAGACAAUAUGGAUUCCCUGGUGUCUGUCCCAUUGGAUAGCAGACCUCACUUCAUGUUAGGGGAGCUCGACUACCAACUUCUUAGGGUUUCACAGCAUAAACAAAUUUCUCAUCAUGUUUUAUUAAACAAUAUUAGUCAUAUAAUUACUAUUUUUCUAUGAUUUAGAAGAAAAUAAACGUCUUCAAAUAACACAUAUGGA
This is a long non-coding RNA of Carassius auratus (goldfish), 657 nucleotides long. RefSeq lists it as uncharacterized. The record is from RefSeq and is a predicted model, not a curated record. Lineage: Eukaryota; Metazoa; Chordata; Actinopteri; Cypriniformes; Cyprinidae. The transcript has 5 exons.